GAUGAGCGCUGGCGGCGUGCCUAAUACAUGCAAGUCGAGCGAACAGACGAGGAGCUUGCUCCUCUGACGGUAGCGGCGGACGGGGGAGUAAAACAUGGAUAACCUACCUAUAAGACUGGGAUAAAUUCGGGAAACCGGAGCUAAUACCGGAUAAUAUAUUGAACCGCAUGGUUCAAUAGUGAAAGACGGUUUUGCUGUCACUUAUAGAUGUAUCCGCGCCGCAUUAGCUAGUUGGUAAGGUAACGGCUUACCAAGGCGACGAUGCGUAGCCGACCUGAGAGGGUGAUCGGCCACACUGGAACUGAGACACGGUCCAGACUCCUACGGGAGGCAGCAGUAGGGAAUCUUCCGCAAUGGGCGAAAGCCUGACGGAGCAACGCCGCGUGAGUGAUGAAGGUCUUCGGAUCGUAAAACUCUGUUAUUAGGGAAGAACAAAUGUGUAAGUAACUAUGCACGUCUUGACGGUACCUAAUCAGAAAGCCACGGCUAACUACGUG
RNAcentral lists this ribosomal RNA (497 nucleotides) under uncultured bacterium. RNAcentral's name for it is "partial 16S ribosomal RNA". It matches the Rfam family "Bacterial small subunit ribosomal RNA", at positions 28 to 507 of the family's 1533-position model. The record is from RNAcentral.